ACGGAAGGCAGCAGUGGGGGAUAUUGCGCAAUGGGGGAAACCCUGACGCAGCAACGCCGCGUGAAGGAAGAAGGUUUUCGGAUUGUAAACUUCUUUUAUGAGGGACGAAUAAUGACGGUACCUCAUGAAUAAGCUCCGGCUAACUACGUGCCAGCAGCCGCGGUAAUACGUAGGGAGCGAGCGUUGGCCGGAUUUACUGGGUGUAAAGGGUGCGUAGGCGGCUAGUCAAGUCAGAUGUGAAAUCUAUGGGCUUAACCCAUAAAUUGCAUUUGAAACUGAAUAGCUUGAGUGAAGUAGAGGCAGGCGGAAUUCCUUGUGUAGCGGUGAAAUGCGUAGAGAUAGGGAGGAACACCAGUGGCGAAGGCGGCCUGCUGGGCUUUAACUGACGCUGAGGCACGAAAGCGUGGGUAGCAAACAGGAUUAGAUACCCUGGUA
This 435-nucleotide ribosomal RNA is filed under the name uncultured Ruminococcus sp. RNAcentral describes it as "bacterial SSU rRNA". It matches the Rfam family "Bacterial small subunit ribosomal RNA", at positions 341 to 792 of the family's 1533-position model. The record is from RNAcentral. Lineage: Bacteria; Bacillati; Bacillota; Clostridia; Eubacteriales; Oscillospiraceae.